RNAcentral lists this ribosomal RNA (207 nucleotides) under uncultured bacterium. Its description in RNAcentral is "partial 16S ribosomal RNA". It matches the Rfam family "Bacterial small subunit ribosomal RNA", at positions 1287 to 1500 of the family's 1533-position model. The record is from RNAcentral.
CUCAGUUCGGAUCGGAGUCUGCAACCCGACUCCGUGAAGCUGGAUUCGCUAGUAAUCGCGCAUCAGCCAUGGCGCGGUGAAUACGUUCCCGGGCCUUGUACACACCGCCCGUCAAGCCAUGGAAGCCGGGGAGUGCCUGAAGUAUGCAACCGCAAGGAGCGUCCUAAGGUAAAACCGGUGACUGGGGCUAAGUCGUAACAAGGUAUC